ACUCCUACGGGAGGCAGCAGUGGGGAAUAUUGGACAAUGGGCGCAAGCCUGAUCCAGCAAUGCCGCGUGAGUGAUGAAGGCCUUAGGGUUGUAAAGCUCUUUUACCCGGGAUGAUAAUGACAGUACCGGGAGAAUAAGCCCCGGCUAACUCCGUGCCAGCAGCCGCGGUAAUACGGAGGGUGCGAGCGUUAAUCGGAAUUACUGGGCGUAAAGCGCAUGCAGGUGGUUUGUUAAGUCAGAUGUGAAAGCCCGGGGCUCAACCUCGGAAUUGCAUUUGAAACUGGCAGACUAGAGUACUGUAGAGGGGGGUAGAAUUUCAGGUGUAGCGGUGAAAUGCGUAGAGAUCUGAAGGAAUACCGGUGGCGAAGGCGGCCCCCUGGACAGAUACUGACACUCAGAUGCGAAAGCGUGGGGAGCAAACAGGAUUAGAUACCCUGGUAGACA
This 444-nucleotide ribosomal RNA is filed under the name uncultured bacterium. RNAcentral's name for it is "bacterial SSU rRNA". It matches the Rfam family "Bacterial small subunit ribosomal RNA", at positions 335 to 796 of the family's 1533-position model. The record is from RNAcentral.